Chaetomium tenue is the source of this 84-nucleotide non-coding RNA. Lineage: Eukaryota; Fungi; Ascomycota; Sordariomycetes; Sordariales; Chaetomiaceae. The record is from the annotation of a GenBank genome assembly.
GGGCAAUUGGUCUAGGGGUAUGAUUUUCGCUUCGCACCAUGUGCUCUCUGUGAAAGGUCACCGGUUCAAAUCCGGUAUUGUCCA